UUGGUCAUCUACAGACGGUGGCAGGCGAUGGCGGCCAACGGUGGUGGUGGCAGGUGGCAGGCGAUGGCGGCCAACGGUGGUGGUGGCAGGUGGCCGGCGGCGGGAGUCCGACGGUGGUGGUCAGCGACGGGCGGUGGCGGCCAACGGUGGUGGUGGCAGGUGGCCGACGGCGGGAGUUCGACGGUGGCGGUCGGCGACGGGCGGUGGCGGCCAACGGUGGUGGUGGCAGGUGGCCGGCGGCGGGAGUCCGGCGGUGGCCGGCGGCGGGAGUCCGGCGGUAGUGGCUGGCGGCAGAAGUCCGGCGGUGGUGGCCGGCGGCGAGAUAUGAUUGGCUAGAUAUGGACAUGUGGCAUAGUAUGCUUGCCUUAGAAGGAGUGGCAUUGUGUGUAAUUUUGAUAUGUUUUAAUGAUAUUUUUGUAAAAUUAGGUACCACAAUUUGGUCUUUUGCCUUAUGCUAAUUAGAUGAAAUUGUAUUACUAUCUUCCAAAUUAGUAAACUAUAUUGUGUUUUAAAACUAAAGCUCCCUAUUAAAUAGGUGUAUUUUUUUUUUUUUGGUGUUAUCAAUGAAAUUACAUGGUAUUGUUGAGUUUUCUAUCUACUUAGUACCUUUGUACGUAAAGUAAAUUUAGCCCAUCCCAUUUUGAAAUCCUGCGUCCCUUCAUACAUUUGUGAAUACUGUGGGAUUCACCUUUUGAUAUCUCCUCAUUUGGUUACAAAUCCAAGGUCAGUGGUGGUCAUUAUCGUUGAAAUUAUAGGAGAGUUGAUGUAAACCAAGCAAUACAAUAAUACAUACAACCCAAUGUCACAGAUUAACAGGACGAAGUAAGAAACUGUUCGCUUCUUGUUUAUUAUUUGUCACAGCAAAAGGCAGCUGCGGGUUGGCACUUGGUAGCUAUAUCCAACAUCUUUAUGUCCACAUCACCAACCAAGGUGACCCAUAUUUUAUAGGCUUAUUUAUUGUAGUGACCCUUGAAACUUUGGUCAUAUCUCACUUUGAUUCUCAAAGUUAAAGUGGCUCACUUAACCUUAUUGACCGUAAUUUUGUAUUUCACUUUGCUCCCACCUUUAUCUCAUUUAAUAAUUCUGUCAGUUUGAUGAUGUGACAUAGUUAUUUUAGUCUUUUUAUCACAAGAGAUGAUGUGUCACAUAAAGGGCCCACUUUUUUUUUGUUUAAAUAAAAUAAAAUAAAAAUAAAAAUACUUGUUUAAUUAAAAAAAUAUAUAAAAAUAGAAUAAAUAAUAAAUAAAAAUCUUUCUUCUUUAUGCCUCUCCAUCUCUCUCUCUCUCUCUCCCCCCUAAAACUAACCAAGGCUUUCCAACAAUUCUCUCAAAUCAAAUCAUCCCCAAAUUCCAGCUUUCAAUCCCCACAUUCAAACCCAAAAUGCCCUCAUUCUAAACCUAAAUUGAAACAUAUUUACUCCAAAUCAAAUGGACAGACCUUAAAUCACUAGCUUUUUAAAUAAUAAUUCAAAACAAAAGAUAGAAAACCCUGUGGACUAAGCACUCCGAUGUUAUUUCGUCCAUCCACGCCCAUGACGACAACUCCGUCGUUGCCAGCGUUGAUGGGUUGGUAUAC
Molecule: long non-coding RNA, 1575 nt
Filed under: Prunus persica (peach)
Lineage: Eukaryota; Viridiplantae; Streptophyta; Magnoliopsida; Rosales; Rosaceae
Description: long non-coding RNA (PPER_LNC001460)
Source: RNAcentral